Non-coding RNA from Pelobates cultripes (western spadefoot toad), 336 nucleotides. The record is from the annotation of a GenBank genome assembly. NCBI's taxonomy places the organism in Eukaryota, Metazoa, Chordata, Amphibia, Anura, Pelobatidae.
UUCGCACCGGGGCCCCAUGGGUCAUGUGUACUCACUGCACACAUACAUACAAAGACACAUACACACACAUACAGACACACACAAGACAUACAUACAAAGACACACACACACACACACACACAAGACUUACAUACAAAGACACACACACACAAACACACACAUUAUAUUUAAGUCACCCUCCUGUUUCCUACCUUUAAGGUGCAGGAGGGUGACAUUCCCUGGGGCCCACUGGUGGCUCAGGUGGAUGGGAGUCAGAGUUCCCACUCUGACUCCCUGGUCUUCCUCCUGCACGGCUCUCAGUGUUAGCUGGGAGGAGUAUCGUGCAGUCACUUUCUC